CCUACGGGAGGCAGCAGUGGGGAAUAUUGCACAAUGGGCGAAAGCCUGAUGCAGCAACGCCGCGUGAGCGAUGAAGGCCUUCGGGUCGUAAAGCUCUGUCCUCAGGGAAGAUAAUGACGGUACUUCAGGAGGAAGCCCCGGCUACCUACGGGCCAGCAGCCGCGGAAAUACGUAGGGGGCUAGCGUUAUCCGGAAUUACUGGGCGAAAAGGGUGCGUAGGUGGUUUCUUAAGUCAGAGGUGAAAGGCUACGGCUCAACCGUAGUAAGCCUUUGAAACUGGGAAACUUGAGUGCAGGAGAGGAGAGUGGAAUUCCUAGUGUAGCGGUGAAAUGCGUAGAUAUUAGGAGGAACACCAGUUGCGAAGGCGGUUCUCUGGACUGUAACUGACACUGAGGCACGAAAGCGUGGGGAGCAAACAGGAUUAGAUACCCGGGUAGUC
This 439-nucleotide ribosomal RNA is filed under the name uncultured bacterium. RNAcentral's name for it is "partial 16S ribosomal RNA". It matches the Rfam family "Bacterial small subunit ribosomal RNA", at positions 338 to 795 of the family's 1533-position model. The record is from RNAcentral.